AUGCCAGCAGCCGCGGUGAUACGUAGGGUGCAAGCGUUAAUCGGAAUUACUGGGCGUAAAGCGUGCGCAGGCGGUUUUGUAAGACAGAUGUGAAAUCCCCGGGCUUAACCUGGGAACUGCGUUUGUGACUGCAAGGCUAGAGUACGGCAGAGGGGGGUGGAAUUCCACGUGUAGCAGUGAAAUGCGUAGAUAUGUGGAGGAACACCGAUGGCGAAGGCAGCCCCCUGGGCCUGUACUGACGCUCAUGCACGAAAGCUGGGGGCACGAACCGGAUUAGAUACCCGGGUAGUCCCAGCCGUAA
Molecule: ribosomal RNA, 301 nt
Filed under: uncultured bacterium
Lineage: Bacteria
Description: bacterial SSU rRNA
Rfam family: Bacterial small subunit ribosomal RNA
Source: RNAcentral